GCAGGAGAAGCAAGAUGAAGUCACAGACCCAGGUCCUCAUAUCCCUGCUGCUUUGGGUGUCUGGUGCCUGUGCAGACAUUGUGAUGACACAGUCUCCAUCCUCCCUGGCUGUGUCAGCAGGAGAGAAAGUCACCAUCCGCUGCAGAUCCAGUCAGAGUCUUUUACACAGUGUAAUCAGAGAGAACUUAUUGUCCUGGUACCAGCAGAAACCAGGGCAAUCCCCUAAGCUGCUGAUCUACUGGGCAUCCAAUCGAUACACUGGGGUCCCUGAUCGCUUCACAGGCAGUGGAUCUGGGACAGAUUUCACUCUCAGCAUCAGCAGUGUGCAGGCUGAAGACCUGGCCAUUUAUUACUGUCAGCAGGGUAUUAGUACUCCUCCCACAGUGCUUCAGCCUCAAACACAAACCUCCUUGAGAGUCUCACCAGCUGCCUGCAACACACACAGCCCGGGGCCUGCACACUUCCCUCUUCUGCCUGAUAGCAGUUCUAAUUGUGUCUCCCGCCUGGAACAGUUACCUCCAACAGGCUUUAUCUUGGCCAAGGCCUUCUUUCCAAGCAGUCAAAUGCUUCAUGGCCAGGCUCUAGCAUUUGAAAGAAACAGGUAUGUUACAGACUACAUGAAAUUGCUGGAGAUCUCCAGAUAUCGUAAAACUGAGUGGUUCUCUGAGUGA
Molecule: non-coding RNA, 671 nt
Organism: Meriones unguiculatus (Mongolian gerbil)
Lineage: Eukaryota; Metazoa; Chordata; Mammalia; Rodentia; Muridae
Source: the annotation of a RefSeq genome assembly